RNAcentral lists this microRNA (22 nucleotides) under Bos taurus (domestic cattle). Its description in RNAcentral is "bta-miR-2285an". The record is from miRBase by way of RNAcentral. Lineage: Eukaryota; Metazoa; Chordata; Mammalia; Artiodactyla; Bovidae.
AAAGCCCGAAUGAACUUUUUAG